This 1434-nucleotide ribosomal RNA is filed under the name uncultured bacterium. RNAcentral describes it as "bacterial SSU rRNA". It matches the Rfam family "Bacterial small subunit ribosomal RNA". The record is from RNAcentral.
AGAGUUUGAUUAUGGCUCAGAACGUACGCUGGCGGCACGCCUAACACAUGCAAGUCGAACGAAGUAGCAAUACUUAGUGGCAGACGGGUGAGUAACAUGUAGGUAUCUGCCCUUUGGCCUGGAAUAACACGAGGAAACUUGUGCUAAUACCGGAUAAGUCUUUACGGAGAAAGCUUUAUGCACCAUUGGAUGAGCCUGCACUUGAUUAGUUUGUUGGUGGGGUAAUGGCCUACCAAGACUGUGAUCAAUAGCUGAUUUGAGAGGAUGAUCAGCCACAUUGGGACUGAGACACGGCCCAAACUCCUACGGGAGGCAGCAGUGGGGAAUCUUGCACAAUGGAGGAAACUCUGAUGCAGCGAUGCCGCGUGAGUGAAGAAGGCCUUUGGGUUGUAAAGCUCUUUCGUCGGGGAAGAAAAUGACUGUACCCGAAUAAGAAGGUCCGGCUAACUUCGUGCCAGCAGCCGCGGUAAUACGAAGGGACCUAGCGUAGUUCGGAAUUACUGGGCUUAAAGAGUUCGUAGGUGGUUGAAAAAGUUAGUGGUGAAAUCCCAGAGCUUAACUCUGGAACUGCCAUUAAAACUUUUCAGCUAGAGUAUGAUAGAGGAAAGCAGAAUUUCUAGUGUAGAGGUGAAAUUCGUAGAUAUUAGAAAGAAUACCAAUUGCGAAGGCAGCUUUCUGGAUCAUUACUGACACUGAGGAACGAAAGCAUGGGUAGCGAAGAGGAUUAGAUACCCUCGUAGUCCAUGCCGUAAACGAUGUGUGUUAGACGUUGGAAAUUUAUUUUUCAGUGUCGCAGGGAAACCGAUAAACACACCGCCUGGGGAGUACGACCGCAAGGUUAAAACUCAAAUGAAUUGACGGGGACCCGCACAAGUAGUGGAGCAUGUGGUUUAAUUCGAAGAUACGCGCAGAACCUUACCAACACUUGACAUGUUCGUCGCGACUCUAAGAGAUUAGAGUUUUCGGUUCGGCCGGACGAAACACAGGUGCUGCAUGGCUGUCGUCAGCUCGUGUCGUGAGAUGUUGGGUUAAGUCCCGCAACGAGCGCAACCCUCACUUUUAGUUGCCAUCAUUAAGUUGGGCACUCUGAAAGAACUGCCAGUGAUAAGCUGGAGGAAGGUGGGGAUGACGUCAAGUCCUCAUGGCCCUUACGUGUUGGGCUACACACGUGCUACAAUGGUAUCUACAACAGGAAGCAAGACUGCGAAGUUAAGCAAAUCCCUAAAAGAUACCUCAGUUCGGAUUGCACUCUGCAACUCGAGUGCAUGAAGCUGGAAUUACUAGUAAUCGUGGAUCAGCGUGCCACGGUGAAUGCGUUCCCGGGUCUUGUACACACCGCCCGUCACACCAUGGGAGUUGGUUCUACCUUAAGGCAAGGUUUUAAACCCUUGACCACGGUAUAGUCAGCGACUGGGGUGAAGUCGUAACAAGGUA